UACGUAGGGUGCGAGCGUUGUCCGGAAUUAUUGGGCGUAAAGAGCUUGUAGGCGGUUUGUCGCGUCUGCUGUGAAAAUCCGGGGCUCAACCCCGGACUUGCAGUGGGUACGGGCAGACUAGAGUGUGGUAGGGGAGACUGGAAUUCCUGGUGUAGCGGUGGAAUGCGCAGAUAUCAGGAGGAACACCGAUGGCGAAGGCAGGUCUCUGGGCCACUACUGACGCUGAGAAGCGAAAGCGUGGGUAGCGAACAGG
RNAcentral lists this ribosomal RNA (253 nucleotides) under uncultured bacterium. Its description in RNAcentral is "partial 16S ribosomal RNA". It matches the Rfam family "Bacterial small subunit ribosomal RNA", at positions 524 to 776 of the family's 1533-position model. The record is from RNAcentral.